RNAcentral lists this ribosomal RNA (790 nucleotides) under uncultured euryarchaeote. RNAcentral's name for it is "bacterial SSU rRNA". It matches the Rfam family "Archaeal small subunit ribosomal RNA", at positions 85 to 876 of the family's 1478-position model. The record is from RNAcentral. Lineage: Archaea; Methanobacteriati; Methanobacteriota.
ACGGCUCAGUAACACGUGGAUAACCUGCCCUCAGGUCCGGCAUAACCCCGGGAAACUGAGGAUAAUUCCGGAUAUCCCUUUUCUGCUGGAAGGCUUAAAGGGACAAAGAAUUUCGCCUGAGGAUGGGUCUGCGGCCUAUCAGGUUGUAGGGGGUGUAACGUACCCUCUAGCCGACAACGGGUACGGGUUGUGAGAGCAAGAGCCCGGAGAUGGAUUCUGAGACAUGAAUCCAGGCCCUACGGGGCGCAGCAGGCGCGAAAACUUUACAAUGCAGGAAACUGUGAUAAGGGAACACCGAGUGCUCGCAUCAAAUGCGGGCUGUCCACAUACCUAAAUCGUAUGUGUUAGCAAGGGCCGGGCAAGACCGGUGCCAGCCGCCGCGGUAAUACCGGUGGCCCGAGUGGUAGCCGCUUUUAUUGGGUCUAAAGGGUCCGUAGCCUGUCUGAUCAGUCCAUUGGGAAAUCCGGAUGCUCAACAUCCGGGCUUCCAGUGGAUACUGUCAGACUUGGGAUCGGGGGAGGUAAGAGGUACUACACGGGGUAGGAGUGAAAUCUUCUAAUCCUUGUGGGACCACCUGUGGCGAAGGCGUCUUACCAAAACGAGUCCGACGGUGAGGGACGAAAGCUGGGGGCACGAACCGGAUUAGAUACCCGGGUAGUCCCAGCCGUAAACGAUGCUCGCUAGGUGUCAGGCAUGGCGUGACUGUGUCUGGUGCCGAAGGGAAGCCGUGAAGCGAGCCACCUGGGAAGUACGGCCGCAAGGCUGAAACUUAAAGGAAUUGGCGGGGGAG